CGGGCGUUAAGUUGCAGGGUAUAGACCCGAAACCCGGUGAUCUAGCCAUGGGCAGGUUGAAGGUUGGGUAACACUAACUGGAGGACCGAACCGACUAAUGUUGAAAAAUUAGCGGAUGACCUGUGGCUGGGGGUGAAAGGCCAAUCAAACCGGGAGAUAGCUGGUUCUCCCCGAAAGCUAUUUAGGUAGCGCCUCGUGAAUUCAUCUCCGGGGGUAGAGCACUGUUUCGGCUAGGGGGCCAUCCCGGCUUACCAACCCGAUGCAAACUGCGAAUACCGGAGAAUGUUAUCACGGGAGACACACGGCGGGUGCUAACGUCCGUCGUGAAGAGGGAAACAACCCAGACCGCCAGCUAAGGUCCCAAAGUCAUGGUUAAGUGGGAAACGAUGUGGGAAGGCCCAGACAGCCAGGAUGUUGGCUUAGAAGCAGCCAUCAUUUAAAGAAAGCGUAAUAGCUCACUGGUCGAGUCGGCCUGCGCGGAAGAUGUAACGGGGCUAAACCAUGCACCGAAGCUGCGGCAGCGACACUGUGUGUUGUUGGGUAGGGGAGCGUUCUGUAAGCCUGUGAAGGUGUG
RNAcentral lists this ribosomal RNA (574 nucleotides) under Salmonella enterica. Its description in RNAcentral is "partial 23S ribosomal RNA". It matches the Rfam family "Bacterial large subunit ribosomal RNA", at positions 689 to 1260 of the family's 2925-position model. RNAcentral also lists the same sequence under 1 other name. The record is from RNAcentral. Lineage: Bacteria; Pseudomonadati; Pseudomonadota; Gammaproteobacteria; Enterobacterales; Enterobacteriaceae.